AUGGACACCAUAGAGCAGUGCGGCCAGGCUGUGUGAAGGCAAAGCUUCUGAAAGGCUGGUGUAUAGGACCAGCACGGGAGAGAUGAACCGAGGCAGCUGCUGUCUGUGUUGUGCUUUUUUCUCUGAGUUGUAAAACAGGAUCAGAAGGUGACAGCUGUUCCUGCAGGGAAGACCAGUCUACGGAGCUCAGGAUCAGAUGGUGACAGUGGUCUCUUCAGGGUCAUGGAGCCAGGGAAGACCAGUCUGUGACAGGGGUCUCGUCAGGGUCAGGCAGCCAGUGAAGCCAGUCUGUGACGGCAUAGAGAUUCAACUGCCAACGCCCAUCCCUACAGGCUCUGGGACCUGAGAAAGAAGAGCAUCUUCAGACAGUAUUCUUUGCCAUGUUUCGGCAGUGAAGUCCUGGAAACCCCAAAUCCUUUGAGCAGCAGAUACUAUUAUGUCCAGUUUCUUAGACUUUUUGUUCCUUUGUGCAGUACAAUUAAUCACAUGCGCAAUAAACACCAUAACAUCCACCUUCUUCACAAUCAGCAUAUUAGUUUCCCUCAACUGUUGAGCAACACUGAAUCUCCACAGUCAGCGAAGCAUCCACAGCCAUAUCUUCAGCUCCACUCACUCCAACUAUUUCACGUGCCUCUGUGUAGGAGGCCUGCUGUAUAGCCCUGACCCUUGCCACUUCAUACUCCUUUACCCUAACCGGACACUCUGGGGAAUUGGGAACGUGGUUGCCAUCACAAUUACAACAUCGUACACCCUCAAACGUUCCCCAGUACCUGGAUAUUUUAGCCAACAAUCUGGUUGCCCCUGCCGAGGCUGAAACUUGGCCGCAAGUGGAUCUUCCAGCAAGAUAAUAACCCCAAGCACACAUCAAAAUCCACAAAUAAUUGUAUUUGAACUCAACUCCAGUUGUACAGGGCAGAAGUGGGCCGU
Molecule: long non-coding RNA, 927 nt
Organism: Oncorhynchus tshawytscha (Chinook salmon)
Lineage: Eukaryota; Metazoa; Chordata; Actinopteri; Salmoniformes; Salmonidae
Source: Ensembl